Molecule: ribosomal RNA, 678 nt
Filed under: Escherichia sp.
Lineage: Bacteria; Pseudomonadati; Pseudomonadota; Gammaproteobacteria; Enterobacterales; Enterobacteriaceae
Description: bacterial SSU rRNA
Rfam family: Bacterial small subunit ribosomal RNA
Source: RNAcentral
GGGAGCAAACAGGAUUAGAUACCCUGGUAGUCCACGCCGUAAACGAUGUCGACUUGGAGGUUGUGCCCUUGAGGCGUGGCUUCCGGAGCUAACGCGUUAAGUCGACCGCCUGGGGAGUACGGCCGCAAGGUUAAAACUCAAAUGAAUUGACGGGGGCCCGCACAAGCGGUGGAGCAUGUGGUUUAAUUCGAUGCAACGCGAAGAACCUUACCUGGUCUUGACAUCCACAGAACUUUCCAGAGAUGAGAAGGUGCCUUCGGGAACCGUGAGACAGGUGCUGCAUGGCUGUCGUCAGCUCGUGUUGUGAAAUGUUGGGUUAAGUCCCGCAACGAGCGCAACCCUUAUCCUUUGUUGCCAGCGGUCCGGCCGGGAACUCAAAGGAGACUGCCAGUGAUAAACUGGAGGAAGGUGGGGAUGACGUCAAGUCAUCAUGGCCCUUACGACCAGGGCUACACACGUGCUACAAUGGCGCAUACAAAGAGAAGCGACCUCGCGAGAGCAAGCGGACCUCAUAAAGUGCGUCGUAGUCCGGAUUGGAGUCUGCAACUCGACUCCAUGAAGUCGGAAUCGCUAGUAAUCGUGGAUCAGAAUGCCACGGUGAAUACGUUCCCGGGCCUUGUACACACCGCCCGUCACACCAUGGGAGUGGGUUGCAAAAGAAGUAGGUAGCUAACCUUC